Molecule: ribosomal RNA, 265 nt
Filed under: uncultured bacterium
Lineage: Bacteria
Description: partial 16S ribosomal RNA
Rfam family: Bacterial small subunit ribosomal RNA
Source: RNAcentral
GAUGAACGCUAGCGGCAGGCUUAACACAUGCAAGUCGAGGGGUAUUGGUUUUCGGACCAAGAGACCGGCGCACGGGUGCGUAACGCGUAUGCAAUCUACCUUUUGCAGAGGGAUAGCCCCAGAGAAAUUUGGAUUAAUACCUCAUAGUAUAGUACUUUGGCAUCAAGGAACUAUUAAAGUCACAACGGCAAAGAAUGAGCAUGCGUCCCACUUAGCUAGUUGGUAAGGUAACGGCUUACCAAGGCUACGAUGGGUAGGGGUCCGU